AUUGAACGCUGGCGGCAGGCUUAACACAUGCAAGUCGAGCGGGGGAAGGUAGCUUGCUACCGGACCUAGCGGCGGACGGGUGAGUAAUGCUUAGGAAUCUGCCUAUUAGUGGGGGACAACAUCUCGAAAGGGAUGCUAAUACCGCAUACGUCCUACGGGAGAAAGCAGGGGAUCUUCGGACCUUGCGCUAAUAGAUGAGCCUAAGUCGGAUUAGCUAGUUGGUGGGGUAAAGGCCUACCAAGGCGACGAUCUGUAGCGGGUCUGAGAGGAUGAUCCGCCACACUGGGACUGAGACACGGACCAGACUCCUACGGGAGGCAGCAGUGGAGAAUAUUGGACGAUGGGGGGAACCCUGAUCCAGCCAUGCCGCGUGUGUGAAGAAGGCCUUAUGGUUGUAAAGCACUUUAAGCGAGGAGGAGGCUACUCUAGUUAAUACCUAGGGAUAGUGGACGUUACUCGCAGAAUAAGCACCGGCUAACUCUGUGCCAGCAGCCGCCGUAA
RNAcentral lists this ribosomal RNA (501 nucleotides) under uncultured bacterium. Its description in RNAcentral is "partial 16S ribosomal RNA". It matches the Rfam family "Bacterial small subunit ribosomal RNA", at positions 30 to 523 of the family's 1533-position model. The record is from RNAcentral.